CACAAAGAUAUGUUUACACAAAAACCCAUCAAAACUUUUCUUUUUUUCCUUGGAAAUCGUUGAAGUAAUACACAAAGUCAAAUGUGUAGUGUUAUUAAAAUCUAAACUUUCACGCAAAGUGAUCUAGCUAAUUGAUAUGUAUGUUGGCCAUCUUAUCAACUACAAACUGAAAGCAUUCACCACAAAACGCUUAUCUCUCUCUCUCUCUGCUCGCUACGAUACCGGUCACCGGCGCCGCUAAUCCGACCGGCCCCUGGCGACGGUUUUUCCCCGAUAAGGCACACCCAACAAACUCUAAACACCCAGCUCUCCCUCUUAUCUCCUGCCGGCGACGACCACGGAGGUCCGACAGAAUUAUCGGCGAUGGCAUAACGACGGUGGAGAUACGUUCUCCGACAAAAUUCCUCCGGCGACCCCCCUCCGCCCAACUCGUUCCUUUUUCCGGCGAGUGAGCUUCGACGGCUGGGCCACCGUGAGUGGCUGUGGUACCUCUGUUCUUUUCAACAAGUUUUCCGAUGCUCGAGGAUGACGAUAUUGAUGUUGUUGACGGUAAUUAACGCCGGCAGGGUUCCGGGUGGUGGCUGGUCACGAGCGGUGGAUGUCGGCGAAAACAGUGGCGGCGGUGUGAUCCUGAAAUGGUAGUCUCCGGCCACACAUGACAACCGCGUACGACAGCGGCACUAGCGACGUUUCGAGCGACGGCGGCGACAGGUUUGUGACUCAAUUCAGGUUUCAAGUUUGUGAUUCAGUUCAAGUUUCGGUUCACACUGUUCAUUUUUUGGUUCGGGUCAGGUUUGUUCAACAUCGGUUUCUGUUCGACUCAGUCUUGGUACGGGUUUCGCGGUACGAUCGGUUUGAGUAAACAAGUCAAAGACAGACAAACAAAUAUCUCGGUUCAUUAGGUUCGGGUUUAACUCAGUUAUGGUCCAACUCGACUUGACUGGGUUCAGUGUUGGUUCGUGUUUGGUUUUACACGGUUAAAGCUCAGAUUUGUUUCGGUUUCGAGUUCGGGUCAACUCGAUCAACCUAGAGUCAACACGGGUCAACUCAGUUCGGUUCUGGUCAACGGCAGUCAACACAAAGACCUGGAAUGUCAUAGUUGCAUGCUAGCUAACUCACGUCCUUGGAACGACACUUCCGAAUCAUGCUAGGCUAGCUUUGCGCAGGAAUGUCAAGGUUGCAUUUUCAAAACUAUGGACCGGUUGGAAUAGGAGAACCCAUGGGGAUUCGAGUACUUAGUGGGUGUUCAACUGUUUAGAAGUCUUAGCUCAAAUACUUCCGCUGUGCAAUGAAGAUACCAGUCCAGUCACGCCAGCUCUGAUAUUUUCGGGAUAUGACACUGUAUUCAUGCAUCUCUUAAACAGGGUAUGCAAACCUUAUUUGGAUAAAUUCAUCAUAGUAUUCAUCGACGAUAUACUUAUCCUAUUCGUGAACCAAAGAAGAUCAUGAGCAUCAUUUGAAGUUGAUUUUGGAGCUGCUGAAGGAAGAGAAGUUGUAUGCCAAGUUAUCUAAGUGUGAAUUCUGGAUUCGAGAAGUUCAUUUUCUCGGACAUGUCAUAAACGAGAAAGGUAUUCACGUGGAUCCGUCGAAGAUUGAGGCGAUCAAGAAUUCGGAAGCGCUAGAGACUCUGUGAUACGCUAGGUAAACCAGGAAACCACGCAACCCAACUAGCUUCCUCAGUAACUACCUACUAAAUUUCGGGACAAAAUUUCUUUCAACUUGGGGAUGAUGUGACAACUCGUACUUUAGGAACUUUCGUUGUGCUUUGAUGUAACCUGUAUGAACUUUACAUGAUUAUUGAUGUGUUUUCUUUGU
This 1815-nucleotide long non-coding RNA is filed under the name Helianthus annuus (common sunflower). Its description in RNAcentral is "hypothetical non coding rna". The record is from RNAcentral. Lineage: Eukaryota; Viridiplantae; Streptophyta; Magnoliopsida; Asterales; Asteraceae.